GACGAACGCUGGCGGAGGGGGGAACAAAGGCAAGUCGAACGGAAAGGCCCUGCUUUUGUGGGGUGCUCGAGUGGCGAACGGGUGAGUAACACGUGAGUAACCUGCCCUUGACUUUGGGAUAACUUCAGGAAACUGGGGCUAAUACCGGAUAGGAGCUCCUGCUGCAUGGUGGGGGUUGGACAGUUUCGGCGGUUGGGGAUGGACUCGCGGCUUAUCAGCUUGUUGGUGGGGUAGUGGCUUACCAAGGCUUUGACGGGUAGCCGGCCUGAGAGGGUGACCGGCCACAUUGGGACUGAGAUACGGCCCAGACUCCUACGGGAGGCAGCAGUGGGGAAUAUUGCACAAUGGGCGGAAGCCUGAUGCAGCAACGCCGCGUGCGGGAUGACGGCCUUCGGGUUGUAAACCGCUUUCGCCUGUGACGAAGCGUGAGUGACGGUAAUGGGUAACGAAGCACCGGCUCCCUACGUC
Molecule: ribosomal RNA, 468 nt
Filed under: uncultured bacterium
Lineage: Bacteria
Description: partial 16S ribosomal RNA
Rfam family: Bacterial small subunit ribosomal RNA
Source: RNAcentral